CUUCCUUUAAGUCUGAGAGGGUUACUCAGAUAGGAGUUGGAGAAGUGGAGUCAGACAGGAGCCCUACAGAAGCUCCAGGGCCUGUGAUCAGGCUGGCCUGAGGCCAGAGGAAAUGCCAUCCCACCUGCAAGCCUGCUCAACCUCUUCAGACCCAGGAUGGGAGCAUCAAGGAAGAACUACAGCCGCCAGCACCACCCCAGCCCCAACUUCAGUCAUGGCCACUCCUCAGAUAAUAGGUCACUGAAGGGACCCCGGUUAUGCAGGGACCCCACUCCCUCCCUCCAGAAAAUGAUUUGGUUCCAAUGCAGAGAUGGCUUUUCAAACCAGAAUCUUUCUCACAAGUGUCUCCUCAGGACACAGCUCACCGUGAGGUUUCUUGAAGCUCUUUCUGGGUCAAGAUCUGAUCAGGAUUCUAACGUUAAGAGGAGCCAGCAGAGAGCUGUCUUUGUACCCUGGCUCUGAGGAAGGUUUGUGGGAUAGACCGCGUGUGGCCUGAAAGAGCUCGCAUUUCAGGGAACGCCUGGGCUUGAUGCCUGUUAUCUUAUUCAGUGCCUCUGAUUAUAAAUUAAUAAACUGGACUCUCACCAACAAUUGGUCUCGUGUGAGU
Callithrix jacchus (white-tufted-ear marmoset) is the source of this 607-nucleotide long non-coding RNA. RefSeq lists it as uncharacterized. The record is from RefSeq and is a predicted model, not a curated record. Lineage: Eukaryota; Metazoa; Chordata; Mammalia; Primates; Cebidae.